CUGUAUAUCCAUACCACCUUGCUGUCUAUUUACUCAAAAUCUUCAUAACUUGUUUAAAGCACAUUUAAAGUGGGUAUAAACAUCUACCGAGCAUGCGCAAAAUUAAUUAAGCUCAACUGGAGUCUUAAGAUCGAGAAUCCCGCACCGCAGCAUAUACACAGCACAGGGGAGAUGAUAGUGCGGUUGUACAGAGUUGAAGAUGUUGGCAGUGUAAAAUUUAUAAUCUAAAAGUGUUUAUCUUUCUCGUUUUACAGUAACCUUACAUUUUCUCGUCAAGGUCGUUCAAUAAACUCUUAAAACUUGAAGGCAUCAUAUGUGAUUUAAGUGUAGUUCGCUUAUUUUCGUUACUACGAGUUAGUAAAUAUGUGUAUUCGUUCAUAUUAGUGACAUUUGUUGAUAUUAUUUGAAAAUCUUCGACCAUACUUAGUUUUGAGCCAAAUGAAAGUUGGCAGGUUGAGGUUGGUUUGCUCCACUCCCCUGACUGAGUGUAAACAACAUUGCAAUGUUGCUGAUAGAAAAUAUUACAUGUACUGCCAUAUUUAGAUGACCCGCCACUUACAAUGGUCAGAAGACGUGAUAAAUUUGUGUUUUAUGUCAAACAAUAAAAUGCAAGAAUGGUAUCUUAUGAAAUCACAUUUCUACUUUAUUUAUGUGUGUGGAUUUUGGUAUUACAUUCAUCCACCGCCCUAUCAGACCAACAUGACUUCAAAUACAUUUCCUAUAGAGAUCUCCAAUCAUCUGUUACAACUUUUCAAGCAGAAGAUAACUCCUCAUUUUCACAAAUGUUGUUCGACGUAUCCAGAAAUCAAAUGUUUUUAGGAGCAAGGGAUGGGUUUUUCAGAUUGUCGUUAUCACAACUAAGUCUUUUGGAGUACGUAAAUUGGGAAUCGUCUGAGCAAAAGCGGCAUUCUUGUAUAGAGAAGGGACAGAGUGAUGAAAACUGUCACAAUUUUAUAAACAUAAUUCUGAGCAACGAUAGAGAAUUACUAAUUUGUGGCACUAAUUCAUUUUCACCCCAGUGUUCGUGGAGAGAGAUCGACAACAUAACUAGUGUUAUCAAAAUAGUGGAUGGUGUAGCCCAGAGUCCAUUUAACCCCAAUGCAAAUAUUACAGCCCUUUUAUCAGAAAAUGGAUACUACUACUUCGGAGGACCAGCAGACGCUUUCGGAUCUCAGUCCCUCAUAUCAAAAAGUUCCGAAAACAACGUGGUACUGAGAACUAAACCUUACAAUAAUUUCUGGCUCAAUGAGCCGCAGUUUGUGGGUUCUUUUGAGAGUGAUCGGUUUGUUUAUUUUUUAUUUAGAGAAUCAGCAGUGGAAUAUAUGAACUGUGGGAAAGUUAUCUAUUCGAGAAUAGCGAGGAUAUGUAAAAACGAUAAUGGCGGUGGGCAAAUGUUCAAAGAUAACUGGACUACGUACAUCAAAGCUAGAUUAAACUGCUCUAUAAGUGGUGAUUACCCUUUUUAUUUCCAUGAAAUCCAGGGUAUGUUUUAUGUCCCCAGUGAGAAUGUCGUAUAUGCUAGUUUUAGUACCUCUUCGAAUAGUAUAGCAGGAUCAGCAGUGUGUGCAUUCAAUAUCACCUCUAUAAACAAAGCAUUUGAGGGACCUUUUAAAUAUCAGCAGGAUAUAGACAGUGGCUGGAACAAACACAUGAAUCUGUAUAGGAAUCAUUUCAAUUGUGAGUCGUCUCAGAAAAAUAUCAAUUUAUUAGAUAUAUCUAAAUAUCAACUGAUGGAUUCAGCUGUUCAGGCUACAACAUUUGAUCCUUUAUAUUCAACAACAGGAGAACGUUUUACCCAUAUCACAGUAGAUGUAGUGGACACAAAACUGGUCACUGUACAUGUUAUUUAUUUAGUAACACAACAAGGUUAUAUUAAGAAGCUCAGUUUACUACCACGUCAUAAAACAGCAUGUGUGGUUGAAAUUUGGCAAGCAGUUCCAGAUGCAAACAUUCCUAUAACUAGUAUGCAAUUCCUAAAAAAGACCAAUUCAGUGUAUAUAACAAGUCCUUUAGGUUUAUCACAAAUUUCUGUGGGUCAUUGUAGACGACACUCUUCUUUGGAAGGUUGUAAAAACGCCAUGGACCCUUAUUGUGGAUGGAAUGAAAUGGAAGAGACUUGUGCCUUAGUUCCUGAAGAUAGUUUUCGUAGCCAGUUUGGAAAACCGGAGAUAACCUCUUGUCCAGUUUUGAAUACUCCCGUAAAUGGGGGUUGGAGUGCUUGGUCCAAUUGGGCUCCCUGUUUUCAUAAAAGUUUAUCAGAUUAUAAUUCCUCUGAUCAUUGCUUGUGUCAAACUCGUCAGUGCAAUAAUCCUGUUCCUGUAAAUAAGGGAAAACCCUGUGUAGGUCCAUCAAUAUCCGUAACAAAUUGUACUGUUCAUGGAGGAUGGUCUGAUUGGUCAGCAUGGUCAGCGUGUUCUGCAACUUGUGGUACUGCAGUUAAAAGCAGGACCCGAACAUGUACUAAUCCUGCGCCAGCUUUCGGGGGAAGAGUGUGUGUGGGGCAGGAUAGAAGUGAAGCACUUUGUACAGAAUAUGCACCAUGUCCUUCUCAACCAGUUGAUGGUGGUUGGGGUCCUUGGUCUCCAUGGACUUCUUGCACAGCUUCUUGCGCUGGAGGUUACCAGUUGAGACAACGAAAAUGUGAUAAUCCCAUUCCUCACAACGGAGGACAGCACUGUAAAGGAAAUGAUAUCGAAUAUGAAAGAUGUAAUGACGUUUCUUGUAAUGAAAUCAAAAAGUUCUACUCCACGGAUUGGAUUAAUACUAAUGGCACAUCUUAUCACAAAAAACGGUAUAAAAUUAUUUGUAAAGCACCAGUUAAAUCACCAGGUCAGAUAAAAAUAUCAGUUAAAGAAGAAGAUAAAUAUUGCUCAAAUUCACAAUGUACCAAUGACGAUUACGAAAGUAGCUGGAACCAGUGGACCAAUUGGUCAGAUUGUUCAGUGAGUUGUGGGGGAGGUACACAGAAACGUGUUAGAACAUGCAAGAAAACGAGAAAUUGCGUAGGCGAAUCAACGCAAACGAAAGAGUGCAAUACUCACAGCUGUGAAGAUUCGUGGGGUUGUUGGUCCGAAUGGUCUCCCUGCAACGUUUCUUGUGGAUGGGGAGUUAAGAUCCGCACCAGAUCUUGCUUAGGAAAAACUUGCAAUGAUGUAGUGAGGGAAGAACAGCCGUGCGAAGAUCAACCAUGUGAAGCCAUUUUGGGAUGGGGAAAUUGGACGGAAUGGUCGCUCUGUGAUAGUAACAACGAACAACAUAGGAAAAGAAAAUGUUUUCACGAAAAUCCAGGCCCAUUGGAAUGCCAAGGAAAAGACUUUGAAACUAGAAUUUGUUUUGGAGAACUACCAAACGAGUGUGGAAAAUUCUACACCAACAACCAAAGGAAAAACAACUCUUGAUUGAAGUUAGUGGAGUAAUAUUUACUGAACCAUCGUUUAUUAAUUUUGAAAGAGCAACAAUUUUUAUAGUAUUAAAACUAUAAAGGAUUAUAGAAAUAGAAAGGCAAGUGCUAUGAGAAAAAUCUUGGAAGUAUAUGGAAAGAAAAUGCACUUUACUGGAACCAAAAUUCUGUAUAGUGAGGAGAGAAGUAAACUUGGAAAAAUUAAUAUAAAGAUAGAAAACAAUAUCAUCCAUUCAAAACACCUUGCUGGAACAGGAAUCUUGUUUCUCUGUAGGACUUUCGUUUUUCUUUGUAGGUGUCAUAGUAGGUCUCUUGCCAUAUCUUGCAUACCUCAUCUACAAUCACAUCUCCAAGAAAAAAAAU
This 3763-nucleotide unclassified non-coding RNA is filed under the name Diabrotica virgifera virgifera (western corn rootworm). RNAcentral's name for it is "semaphorin-5A". Lineage: Eukaryota; Metazoa; Arthropoda; Insecta; Coleoptera; Chrysomelidae. The record is from RNAcentral.